AAGGUCUGUGAAAUUNUAAUUCACAUCUCCUGAAUGCAACUCAAGCACUUUAAUUAAGCUAAAACCUC
Molecule: transfer RNA, 68 nt
Filed under: Trachylepis damarana (Damara skink)
Lineage: Eukaryota; Metazoa; Chordata; Lepidosauria; Squamata; Scincidae
Description: tRNA-Ala
Source: RNAcentral